RNAcentral lists this ribosomal RNA (253 nucleotides) under uncultured bacterium. RNAcentral describes it as "partial 16S ribosomal RNA". It matches the Rfam family "Bacterial small subunit ribosomal RNA", at positions 524 to 776 of the family's 1533-position model. The record is from RNAcentral.
UACGUAGGUGGCAAGCGUUGUCCGGAUUUACUGGGCGUAAAGAGCGCGCAGGCGGCCAGGUCAGUCGAAUGUGAAAGCCCCCGGCUCAACUGGGGAGGGUCAUUCGAUACUGCCUGGCUUGAAGAUAGGAGAGGGAAGCGGAAUUUCAGGUGUAGUGGUGAAAUGCGUAGAUAUCUGAAGGAACACCAGUGGCGAAGGCGGCUUUCUGGCCUAUUCUUGACGCUGAGGCGAGAAAGCUAGGGGAGCGAACGGG